Molecule: ribosomal RNA, 225 nt
Filed under: uncultured bacterium
Lineage: Bacteria
Description: partial 16S ribosomal RNA
Rfam family: Bacterial small subunit ribosomal RNA
Source: RNAcentral
GAUCAUGGCUCAGGACGAACGCUGGCGGCGUGCCUAACACAUGCAAGUCGAGCGGGGAAUAUUGAGCAGCUUGCUUCUUGAUAUUUCUAGCGGCGGACGGGUGAGUAACGCGUGAGCAACCUGCCUUUAUCAGGGGGAUAACGCAUCGAAAGAUGUGCUAAUACCGCGUAAGACCACAGCUUCACAUGGAGCAGUGGUCAAAGGAGCAAUCCGGAUAAAGAUGGG